AACGUAGGACGCAAGCGUUAUCCGGAGUUACUGGGCGUAAAGCGCGGGCAGGCGGCCCGAUACGUCUGAUGUGAAAUCUCCUCGCUCAACGGGGAGAGGCCAUUGGAAACGGACGGGCUGGAGGGCAGUAGAGGUAGGCGGAAUUCCGGGUGGAGUGGUGAAAUGCGUAGAGAUCCGGAGGAACACCAGAGGCGAAGGCGGCCUACUGGGCUGCACCUGACGCUGAGCCGCGAAAGCCAGGGGAGCGAACGGGAUUAGAAACCCCGGUAGUCCUGGCCGUAAACGAUGUUCACUGGAUGGCGGCUCGAACGGGUCGUUGUCGAAGCUAACGCGAUAAGUGAACCGCCUGGGGAGUACGGUCGCAAGGCUAAA
Molecule: ribosomal RNA, 372 nt
Filed under: uncultured bacterium
Lineage: Bacteria
Description: bacterial SSU rRNA
Rfam family: Bacterial small subunit ribosomal RNA
Source: RNAcentral